Tympanuchus pallidicinctus (lesser prairie-chicken) is the source of this 1098-nucleotide long non-coding RNA. RefSeq lists it as uncharacterized. The record is from RefSeq and is a predicted model, not a curated record. Lineage: Eukaryota; Metazoa; Chordata; Aves; Galliformes; Phasianidae. The transcript is spliced from 3 exons.
AGCCCAGGAUAGGGAACUUGCUAAUGAAGAUGGAAGGUUAAAAAAAAACCUACAAAACAACAAUACAUGUAUUCUGUCAGAUCACAGGCUGAGUUCACAGAAUACCAAUAACAUUUUUCAGAACUAUUUGGAGACUGCAGACAUUUACAAGUCCAUGGACCCUGACAGAAUGCACCCACAAGUGCCGUGCACAAGAUCCUCACAGUGAAGCUGUUUACGUGUGAAUUAGAAAAGCAAACAAUGAAGUGGUCAGUAGUGCAAAUUUCACUUGGUCUAAAAAGUUGAGUAACUCAGAGGUUAACAGCUGAAGGGAGAAUGGAGCCACACUAUCUUUAAUCAUGGCCAGUGCCAGGACGGGAGGCUAUGGACAUAAACUGGAACUCAAAAUGUUCCACCAGGAAGCAUUUUAUAAUAUGGGUGAUGGAACAUUGGAAAAGCUUAUCCAAUUUGUCUGGGACCUCCUUUACUGGAGAUCUUGUGGAUGUGGUCCUGGCAAAACUUAUUUAUGUGUCCUUGCUUGAGCAGAGAUCUCCAGAGGUUCCUUAACCACUCUUCUAUACUCUGAUUUGGUUAGAAUACUUUCUUAACAUGUCAACUAACAAGAGGAGACUAAAUACAUAAUAACAAAGUGAUUUUGAAAUAGAAACCUUUCAUUUUUCAAACUUCAGUACCUGGACUUGUCUGGAAUAGUACUGAAACCUGACACAGCUUUCAAAGAACUGGAGAACACUUACUGAUUAGAGUUAUUAAUCAUUCUGUUCAAAUCCAUAUUUAUACUUUUUUUUUUACUUAAUUGAUCUUUGUGUAUCUAUUUGCAUUUAUCUCAUCACUGUUAAGUUCAAACCAAUCUUGAACUUGAAAAUAGAGCUGAAACAAACUUUGUACUUCCCAGAAAUUUCUAGAGGAAUUAUGAAUGCUUGAGACCUGGACAAAUCUCUGCAUUGUAUGUGAUCCAGAAAUUAUAUAUUUUUAUCACAUGACAAGUAAAUGCAUAUGCAUAAGCAAUUUUCUUUAUUUAGAGUGUUCAGUGUUUGUAUUUAUACAUAAACAUUUCCUUAGAAAAAUAAUUGCUGUUUACUAAAUCCCUUCAUGACAGAA